GACGAACGCUGGCGGCGUGCUUAACACAUGCAAGUCGAACGCUGAAGCUCAGCUUUUGUUGGGUGGAUGAGUGGCGAACGGGUGAGUAACACGUGAGUAACCUGCCUCCUUCUUUGGGAUAACGCCCGGAAACGGGUGCUAAUACUGGAUAUUCACUGGUCUUCGCAUGGGGGUUGGUGGAGAGGGUUUUUCUGGUGGGGGAUGGGCUCGCGGCCUAUCAGCUUGUUGGUGGGGUGAUGGCCUACCAAGGCUUUGACGGGUAGCCGGCCUGAGAGGGUGACCGGUCACAUUGGGACUGAGAUACGGCCCAGACUCCUACGGGAGGCAGCAGUGGGGAAUAUUGCACAAUGGGCGCAAGCCUGAUGCAGCGACGCCGCGUGAGGGAUGGAGGCCUUCGGGUUGUGAACCUCUUUCGCUCAUGGUCAAGCCGCAACAAUGGUUGUGGUGAGGGUAGUGGGUAAAGAAGCGCCGGCUAACUACGUG
Molecule: ribosomal RNA, 483 nt
Filed under: uncultured bacterium
Lineage: Bacteria
Description: partial 16S ribosomal RNA
Rfam family: Bacterial small subunit ribosomal RNA
Source: RNAcentral